This 1284-nucleotide ribosomal RNA is filed under the name Gracilibacillus sp. EM31. Its description in RNAcentral is "bacterial SSU rRNA". It matches the Rfam family "Bacterial small subunit ribosomal RNA", at positions 94 to 1362 of the family's 1533-position model. The record is from RNAcentral. Lineage: Bacteria; Bacillati; Bacillota; Bacilli; Caryophanales; Bacillaceae.
AGCGGCGGACGGGUGAGUAACACGUGGGCAACCUGCCUGUAAGACUGGGAUAACCCCGGGAAACCGGGGCUAAUACCGGAUAAUACAUGGUUUCGCAUGAAACCAUGUUGAAAGAUGGCUUUUACGCUAUCACUUACAGAUGGGCCCGCGGCGCAUUAGCUAGUUGGUAAGGUAACGGCUUACCAAGGCAACGAUGCGUAGCCGACCUGAGAGGGUGAUCGGCCACACUGGGACUGAGACACGGCCCAGACUCCUACGGGAGGCAGCAGUAGGGAAUCUUCCGCAAUGGACGAAAGUCUGACGGAGCAACGCCGCGUGAACGAAGAAGGUUUUCGGAUCGUAAAGUUCUGUUGUUAGGGAAGAACAAGUGCCGUUCGAAUAGGGCGGCACCUUGACGGUACCUAUCGAGGAAGCCCCGGCUAACUACGUGCCAGCAGCCGCGGUAAUACGUAGGGGGCAAGCGUUGUCCGGAAUUAUUGGGCGUAAAGCGCGCGUAGGCGGUUUCUUAAGUCUGAUGUGAAAUCUUGCGGCUCAACCGCAAGCGGUCAUUGGAAACUGGGGAACUUGAGUGCAGAAGAGGAGAGUGGAAUUCCACGUGUAGCGGUGAAAUGCGUAGAUAUGUGGAGGAACACCAGUGGCGAAGGCGACUCUCUGGUCUGUAACUGACGCUGAGGUGCGAAAGCGUGGGGAGCGAACAGGAUUAGAUACCCUGGUAGUCCACGCCGUAAACGAUGAGUGCUAGGUGUUAGGGGGUUUCCGCCCCUUAGUGCUGCAGUUAACGCAUUAAGCACUCCGCCUGGGGAGUACGGCCGCAAGGCUGAAACUCAAAAGAAUUGACGGGGGCCCGCACAAGCGGUGGAGCAUGUGGUUUAAUUCGAAGCAACGCGAAGAACCUUACCAGGUCUUGACAUCUUCGGAUGUCCCUAGAGAUAGGGAGUUCCCUUCGGGGACCGAAUGACAGGUGGUGCAUGGUUGUCGUCAGCUCGUGUCGUGAGAUGUUGGGUUAAGUCCCGCAACGAGCGCAACCCUUGAUCUUAGUUGCCAGCAUUCAGUUGGGCACUCUAAGGUGACUGCCGGUGACAAACCGGAGGAAGGUGGGGAUGACGUCAAAUCAUCAUGCCCCUUAUGACCUGGGCUACACACGUGCUACAAUGGAUGGUACAGAGGGAAGCAAAACCGCGAGGUCAAGCCAAUCCCAUAAAACCAUUCUCAGUUCGGAUUGUAGGCUGCAACUCGCCUACAUGAAGCCGGAAUCGCUAGUAAUCGUGGAUCAGCAUGCCACGG